Carica papaya (papaya) is the source of this 544-nucleotide non-coding RNA. The record is from RefSeq and is a predicted model, not a curated record. Lineage: Eukaryota; Viridiplantae; Streptophyta; Magnoliopsida; Brassicales; Caricaceae.
CUCCUGUGUCAGUUUGUAAAUCACAUGGAGGUUAUACGCUUACCUGUUUACUAUCCAUCACAACAAGAGAAGGAUGACCCAAAGCUCUAUGCCAGUAAUGUCCGAAGAUUGAUGGCUACCGAGGGUAAUUUGACAAUGUCAGAUAUUGGACUUGCUGAGAAGAGAAUUUAUCAUGCUGCUCUCAAUGGUUUGUUAAGCCAAAGCUAAUUCGGAAUCGUCAUCUGUAUAUUCAUUGUAUGAUUCUUUUAUUUGUGGAAAAUAUUUACAAAAGGUGGGUAGAAAAUCAGGGGCAGAAAAUGUUCUUUUAUUGUUGUCAUUUGACGAUGUAUUGUCUUGAGUGGCUGUGGAGUGAACUUUGUGUUUGAAGUAGGCCUCUAUCCUUAGAUAUCCUUCUUUUUACAUCAAAUGUGGGGGCUUAGAAGUUACUGGUUCUGCAUGGUUUUGACAGUCAGUCUCUAACCUCUGUACUUAGCUUCAACUGAGCAUCAAAAUAAUUCAUGCAUUCUUAUUAAGUCUGAGGAAUUAUUUUCUGCCGGUAGAUUCA